Molecule: ribosomal RNA, 249 nt
Filed under: Mycena aff. epiptygeria 1 CRJH-2017
Lineage: Eukaryota; Fungi; Basidiomycota; Agaricomycetes; Agaricales; Mycenaceae
Description: partial 28S ribosomal RNA
Rfam family: Eukaryotic large subunit ribosomal RNA
Source: RNAcentral
AAAGCUCAAAUUUAAAAUCUGGCGGUUCUUGUGGCCGUCCGAGUUGUAAUUUAGAGAAGUGUUAUCCGCGCUGGACCGUGUACAAGUCUCCUGGAAUGGAGCGUCAUAGAGGGUGAGAAUCCCGUCUUUGACACGGACUGCCAGGGCAUUGUGAUGCGCUCUCGAAGAGUCGAGUUGUUUGGGAAUGCAGCUCAAAAUGGGUGGUAAAUUCCAUCUAAAGCUAAAUAUUGGGGAGAGACCGAUAGCGAA